UACGGGAGGCAGCAGUGGGGAAUCUUGCGCAAUGGGCGAAAGCCUGACGCAGCCAUGCCGCGUGAAUGAUGAAGGUCUUUAGGGAUUGUAAAAUUCUUUUCACCGGGGACGAUAAUGACGGUACCCGGAGAAGAAGCCCCGGCUAACUUCGUGCCAGCAGCCGCGGUAAUACGAAGGGGCUAGCGUUGCUCGGAAUUACUGGGCGUAAAGGGCGCGUAGGCGGAUCGUUAAGUCAGAGGUGAAAUCCCAGGGCUCAACCCUGGAACUGCCUUUGAUACUGGCGAUCUUGAGUAUGAGAGAGGUAUGUGGAACUCCGAGUGUAGAGGUGAAAUUCGUAGAUAUUCGGAAGAACACCAGUGGCGAAGGCGACAUACUGGCUCAUUACUGACGCUGAGGGCGCGAAAGCGUGGGGAGCGAAACAGGGAUUGAUACC
This 433-nucleotide ribosomal RNA is filed under the name uncultured bacterium. Its description in RNAcentral is "bacterial SSU rRNA". It matches the Rfam family "Bacterial small subunit ribosomal RNA", at positions 340 to 786 of the family's 1533-position model. The record is from RNAcentral.